RNAcentral lists this transfer RNA (69 nucleotides) under Camelus bactrianus (Bactrian camel). It matches the Rfam family "tRNA". Rfam says of the family: Transfer RNA (tRNA) molecules are approximately 80 nucleotides in length. Lineage: Eukaryota; Metazoa; Chordata; Mammalia; Artiodactyla; Camelidae. RNAcentral also lists the same sequence under 1 other name. The record is from Rfam by way of RNAcentral.
GGUAUAGCUCAGUGGUAGAGUGCAUGCCUAGCAUGCCCGAGGUCCUGGGUUCAAUCCCCAGAACUACCA